UUCCAUGGCGCACCGCAUUUCUCCGCCCGCGUCGCUGCCCCUCCAUGGCGCCGCCCCUCCCUUCCUCUCGCUCCCCACCACCACCGUCCUCCCCACGAGUAUCCCCUUCUUCCUGUCACCCCGGUAGACACGUCUUCGAGAUCAAAUGUCGCAUUUUUAUGCUCCGGCGCUCGAUCUGCAUGUGGUGCCGCUACACCUGCGUGCGCUGGCCCUCGAUCUGCUCAAAUGCGGAGAGAAUAGGGAGCAGCGGAUUUGUAAGUGGCGCCGGAGUGGCAGGAAGACGGCGCCCUCCUCGUGGAGGAGGGCGACCGCUCCGUGGCCGCUGACCUUCGUCUCUGCGCGAUGGCCGCUCUCUGAGAGCAAUCGCCGCGUCGAGCGCCGAGGUGCCCGCGAUUCCUCUCUGAGAGGCCAUAGCGAGGUUUGAUUUGUACGAGAACAACAGCGGCACUUGCGUGGCCGUCGCGGGGCCGCGGGGGCCGAUUACUGCAUCGUCGCCGCCGACACCCGCCUCUCCGUCCGAUACAGCAUCCUGUCCCGCGGCCACUCCAAGAUCGUGCAGCUGCUGGCCCAGUAAUUUGAUUGACGUGAAGAUUAAGGUUAGAAGAGAUGGGAGAUGGGGCUCAGGAACGAAGCUGGGGCAGGCAGCGAUGGAGGCCAGAAGAGAUGGGAGAUGGGGGAAGGAAAUGGCACAGGUCGAACAUAGGUGGUGGGCAGCGACCGCGGAUAGAAGAAUGGGAAAAAGUGCUUACAAGAGGGUGCUUGUUGGUGUAGAGCGUGGUAGAACUGUUCCAAAUUGGCAUUCUAGGAGAUUGGGUGGUGGUCUUGGAUCAAGCAGGAUUGGUGGUGUAGAUGCUGCCUAAAAGCAUUCUUCUAGGUGCCUUGCCUGGGAGUAGCUGCCUUGCCAGAGUAGGUGCCUUGCCGGAGUAGCUGUCGUGCCGGAGUAGCUGGGGCGGAGGUGCUGGACAGGGACGGAGGUGCUGGCUGGGGGCGGAG
This is a long non-coding RNA of Lolium rigidum, 993 nucleotides long. RefSeq lists it as uncharacterized. The transcript is spliced from 4 exons. The record is from RefSeq and is a predicted model, not a curated record. NCBI's taxonomy places the organism in Eukaryota, Viridiplantae, Streptophyta, Magnoliopsida, Poales, Poaceae.